This 518-nucleotide ribosomal RNA is filed under the name uncultured bacterium. Its description in RNAcentral is "partial 16S ribosomal RNA". The record is from RNAcentral.
ACCAGACGAUGCGGUUACCGCGGCUGCUGGCACGGAGUUAGCCGGUGCUUCUUCUGUGAGUGAUGUCCUUCCUGCCGGCUAUUAACCCGCAGGCCUUCUUCCUCACUGAAAGUGCUUUACAACCCGAAGGCCUUCUUCACACACGCGGCAUGGCUGGAUCAGGGUUGCCCCCAUUGUCCAAUAUUCCCCACUGCUGCCUCCCGUAGGAGUCUGGGCCGUGUCUCAGUCCCAGUGUGGCUGAUCAUCCUCUCAGACCAGCUACGGAUCGUCGCCUUGGUGAGCCGUUACCUCACCAACCAGCUAAUCCGACAUAGGCUCAUCCGAUAGCGCGAGGCCCGAAGGUCCCCCGCUUUCCCCCGGUAGGGCGUAUGCGGUAUUAGCCUGGGUUUCCCCAGGUUAUCCCCACUACCGGGCAGAUUCCUAUGCAUUACUCACCCGUCCGCCGCUCGCCACCAGGGAGCAAGCUCCCCGUGCUGCCGCUCGACUUGCAUGUGUUAGGCCUGCCGCCAGCGUUCAAU